UCUGCUACUGGGUCGCCUGUCGCAGA
This 26-nucleotide non-coding RNA is filed under the name Arsenophonus nasoniae DSM 15247. RNAcentral describes it as "L25-Gammaproteobacteria ribosomal protein leader". It matches the Rfam family "L25-Gammaproteobacteria ribosomal protein leader". Lineage: Bacteria; Pseudomonadati; Pseudomonadota; Gammaproteobacteria; Enterobacterales; Morganellaceae. The record is from RNAcentral.